AUUCCGCACGUUUGGCAGUAGCGGCAGCUUCGAACUAGAAAAAGAGAAAGAAUAAUUUGGAUUUUCAAUGGAACAGAAGCAAUCCAAUUCGCCGGCAAGCUUCAUUGAUUCGACAGUGGUUCCAGGGGAUGUGGUGCUCGACCUCUCCUCCAUGACCAACCAGACCGUCAAGCUAGGAGGCGGUCUCCGUCAGGAUUGUGAUGCUAUUUCUGCGAUGAAGGCCGGAACACUUAGGUUCUCGAAACCAAAUAAAUACUGGGUUGAAAGUUCUCAGAAAAGGUAUGUGCCUUGCGUGGAAGAUACUGUUCUUGGUAUUGUGGUGGACUCUAAAGCAGAUAAUUUUCUUAUUGACGUCAAAGGACCUGCAGUGGGCUUUCUGCCUGUGCUUGCAUUUGAAGGCGGGACCAGAAGGAAUAUACCAAAGUUUGAGGUUGGUACUCUUCUUUAUCUUCGGGUUGUUAAGGCAAACUUUGGCAUGAACCCUGAAUUGUCCUGCACUGAUGCCGGUGGAAAAGCAGCUGAAUUUGGGCCCCUCAAAGAUGGAUACAUGUUUGAAACUUCAACUGGCCUAUCAAGAAAGCUGUUAAGUUCACCAACAUGUCCGGUUCUUGAGGCUCUUGGCAAGAAACUAUCCUUUGAAAUAGCUGUUGGCUUGAAUGGCCGGGUUUGGGUGAAUGCUGCCUCUCCAGAUACCAUUGUAGUUGUUGCUAAUGCAAUCAUGAACUCAGAAUCUCUAAGUGGAGCACAGCAGAUAAUUAUGGUGGAGCAUUUGCUUAAGAGCAUCCAAUGAUCAAGUUCGUUGAAAUACAUUAUGGAUAACUCCUAAUCUAUGCUAGAUGAUUUGAUGGGCAUGCAUACUCACUAGUCGUCAUGCUGAUAAAGUUGUACAUGAGAGACCAAAAAAUUAACAGUGACAGUUGAAUCCGUUGGCCUUAUCUGCAUAAGAUGAGCAGUUAAAGAUCAUUUUGACCUUGUCCAGUUACAGUCACGGAUGGUAGAUGAGGCUUGAGACUGAUCAAAAGAUAGAUGUUCCUUUGAAAGCAAACGUAAUUCAGAUGGUGAAUUAUUUGAAUUGCUUCUAAAUUCUAACAAUUAUGAAACCUAUAGCUUUAACACAAUUCGGUAGCCAUAACAAAAAGAAUUGCAUUAGUGUAGGAGUCCAGUCUUGAUAUUGUUCAUUUUGUCUACAACAAAACCCGAGUUGAUAUGGUAGCCUCAAUGAUUUUGUCUUGUGAAUUACAAACCCAGAAACCUUCACUUGUAGCUCGAUGUCCUCUUGAUAAACGUAAACUGACAAAUCUUAGGAUAAACAGCAAGGACCACUAGUGAUCUGACUAUCUCAGUUUAGCUUUUCUUUUCUGAUUUUUUUUUUUAUUAAAAAGAAAAAAUGAGGAAUCACGCUAUAAGAGGUUUGAUGGUUGGUAAUGCAACAUUUGAUAAGCGAAGGAGUUUCUUUCAAGUUACUUUUGAAGCUCUAUAAAUUAGCCCAUUAAAAUCAAUAAGAUUUA
This is a non-coding RNA of Durio zibethinus, 1508 nucleotides long. The record is from RefSeq and is a predicted model, not a curated record. Lineage: Eukaryota; Viridiplantae; Streptophyta; Magnoliopsida; Malvales; Malvaceae.